CCUANGGGAGGCUGCAGUCGAGAAUUUUUCUCAAUGGGGGCAACCCUGAAGGAGCGACGCCGCGUGGAGGAUGAAGGCUUUCGGGUUGUAAACUCCUGUCAUUUGAGAACAAGUGUUGGCAAGUAACUACUGCCAACUUGAUAGUAUCAGAAGAGGAAGGGACGGCUAACUCUGUGCCAGCAGCCGCGGUAAUACAGAGGUCCCAAGCGUUGUUCGGAUUCAUUGGGCGUAAAGGGUGCGUAGGUGGCGUGGUAAGUCGGGUGUGAAAUUUCGGAGCUUAACUCCGAAACUGCAUUCGAUACUGCCGUGCUUGAGGACUGGAGAGGAGACUGGAAUUUACGGUGUAGCAGUGAAAUGCGUAGAGAUCGUAAGGAAGACCAGUGGCGAAGGCGGGUCUCUGGACAGUUCCUGACACUGAGGCACGAAGGCUAGGGGAGCAAACGGGAUUAGAUACCCCANUANUC
Molecule: ribosomal RNA, 464 nt
Filed under: uncultured bacterium
Lineage: Bacteria
Description: bacterial SSU rRNA
Rfam family: Bacterial small subunit ribosomal RNA
Source: RNAcentral